Molecule: long non-coding RNA, 1787 nt
Organism: Onychostoma macrolepis
Lineage: Eukaryota; Metazoa; Chordata; Actinopteri; Cypriniformes; Cyprinidae
Exons: 6
Source: RefSeq, a predicted model, not a curated record
CUUGCUGAAAAUACAGCUGCGCAUCACAGAAAUAAACUACAGUUUAACACAUUCACAUAGAAAUUAGUUCUUUUAAAUAAAAAUGUCACAACUUCCAUUUUUGCUGCAUUUUGGAUCAAAUAAAUGCAGGCUUGAGUUGUGAAAUACACGAGUAUCCAACAAUACUGGCUCUGCAUCUGGAAAGGUUUGUGUACGACUACAGGUGUUAUGGGUUUGAAAAACCACUGUCCCAUGGAUGUACCGCUUCAUCUAUCUCUCCAGGAGCAGGAAUAUUGUCUGUAUGCCGUGAUCAACCACAGCGGCAGUCGAUUCAGAGGUCACUACACCGCUGUCAGCAGAUCUCUUACAGAUAAUAAGUGUCGACGGUCCUCCAGCUUCUGAGACGACGAAGGAAACCCAGAAUGCAGCGUAGCGGAGCUCACAGUAAACCACAACUGGAAGUUCCUAAUAAGAUAUUAAGCUGUUGAUAUGCAGCAGUGUUUGAGAAGCUGAGGAAUGAAUGUUGAUCUCUGCUCUGGAUGUUCCUCAGUGUCUGCUGCGCUGAGAGAAGCUGCAGAGCAGAACGAUCAGGACAAGAGCCCGUAUUAUCAAGAAACCACAAAAAAGAAAAUGUGAGACGCAUGGAAAAGAAAGAACCAGUAAAAGAGAGGAAAAAAGAUUUAAUCAAGUCUGAAUGUAGUUGAGAAGCUUUGUUUGCAGAUGUAACCCUGUUAGUGUGCUUGAUAAAAGUGAAGAGAGACAACUUUAUGCAUUCAGAUGUUAGAAAUAUUCAACUCUUUUCAUAUGUAUUCAUACUGGAGUGUACAGGAGCUGCUGAUCUGUUAAGUGUUAUAUGACAUCUACUGUGUGAUAUUUGAUUGAAAUGACGUUGAAUAUGUGAAAUUGCUGACAUGCAGUUGAAUUAUUAAUCGGCUGAUAGUGACUGACCUGUAAUUCUGGAUUUAGUGUCUUCUCAAUAAAACACCUUUUAUUCUCUACCUGUUAUUUACAAACACCAGCAAAAACAUUCUGUAGUGAGAAAACAUUUAAUAAUGGGAAGAAACUGUAGGUGUUUGUUCAUAUCACUUCUGUCUGAUCUCUAUACUAGUCACACUAAUAGAACAAGGAUUCAUUUUCCCUGUUUAAACUCUUGAAGGAACCACGACUAGUUUGACUAAUAUUGAUUAAUCUACUUAUUUUCUUAUUUAAAAAAAAAAAAAAAAAAAAUGGACCCACUAACAUUUGCACUCGAAAUACUCUGCUAUGUGUGCUGUUAGGCUAACUGAGCUGUCACAGCGCUUGCAUAUUGCUCUUUUGAUUUGCUUCUAUUAUCAUUAUUUGGAUAAAAGCAUCUUUUAAAUGCACUGCAAAAAAGGCUAAUCUUAAUUUGGUCUUGUUUCUUAUAUCUGAAAAUUCUUAAGAUGCAUUUUACUUGAGCAAAAUGCCGCAGGAUAAUUAGUCUUGUUUCCAGGGAAAUAAACUAGAUGAAGUGCAUUUUGCUUAAAAUAAGUAAUGAGCCGCCAGUGCGGUAAGUAAAAUAUUAAAACAAGAGUAUUUUACUUACCCCACUAGAACAAUUCACUUAAUUUGGUUUCUUUCCCCUGGAAACAAGACUAAUUAUCUUACAUUUUGCUUAUCUAAUAAAUGCAUCUUAGUUUAAGAAUUUUCAGAUAUUUUGACUAAAACAAGACAAAAUACUAAGAGACUUUUGCAGUGUGACUAAAUGCAAUAUAUUAAAAGACAUUUUAGAGUGAUAUUAAAUACAAUUCAAAAUUGAGAGAAUGCAAAACUUUUAUUUUUUUUUUGUA